This is a long non-coding RNA of Drosophila nasuta, 810 nucleotides long. RefSeq lists it as uncharacterized. The transcript has 4 exons. The record is from RefSeq and is a predicted model, not a curated record. NCBI's taxonomy places the organism in Eukaryota, Metazoa, Arthropoda, Insecta, Diptera, Drosophilidae.
AUCUAUAGCAACAGAAAACAACUAAAAAUUAAAAACAAAUAUAUAGUUUUAGGUCUAAAGUGUAUUUUUUUUUACUUUUAUACGUUUUUACCAAAUUUUUUUUUAAAAAUGUUGCAAUCAUUUCAAAUAAAGAUACAGUUUAAUAAUAAUAAUGAUAAUAAUAAUUACUCUUAUAAUAGUAAUAAUAAUAUACAUCAUGAGCAAAAUAUAUAACAUUAAAUUGAUAAACAUUACUAUGAUUCACAUUGCAUUGCUGUGGUUUUACCGAAUUACACAUUUUCACUGGAUGGAAAUGAAACUUAUGGCUUAACUGAAAUAAGAUUAAAUUAAUUAAAAAAAAAAGAACAAGAAGAACAAGAGAAAUUAAAUAUCCUGGUUCUUGGUGGCAUUUUUGCUGCUUCAUGGUUUUUAAGAAGUAAUUAAAAUGGAGUAAAUAAUAUACGAAGAGGAAAAAAGGAAUUAGCUUAUCAGCGGCAUUCCAGCUUUUUGGUUAUUAGAAAAUGCUUGAAUUGGAAUGAUGUAGAAGGUGAAGAAAUCGUGAUCGUCGUAGAUUGCACUCAACGUUGAAGACAAUCUAGCCGCAUCUGCGGCUGAUUACGCCGCUGCUGUUUGGCUUUUUUUUUGAUUUUGGCAUUAUUUGUUCUCAACUCAAAAUUCACAAAAUUCUUAACGAUUAUCAAGGCAUAUAUAUACUAAGUUUUGUAAAUUAAAAUGUAUUUCCAAAUUUUGCGUGUGGAGUUUGAAGUUUCGAAACAAGAGCGGCUCUAGAAUGAAAAUUGUUUGUUAAAUAAAUAUUCUUUGGUCUUCAUU